UGGGGAAUAUUGGACAAUGGGCGCAAGCCUGAUCCAGCCAUGCCGCGUGAGUGACGAAGGUCUUCGGAUUGUAAAGCUCUUUUUGGCGGGGACGAUAAUGACGGUACCCGCAGAAUAAGCCCCGGCUAACUUCGUGCCAGCAGCCGCGGUAAUACGAAGGGGGCUAGCGUUGUUCGGAAUUACUGGGCGUAAAGCGCACGUAGGCGGACUGAUAAGUCAGGGGUGAAAUCCCGGGGCUCAACCUCGGAACUGCCUUUGAUACUGUUAGUCUCGAGUCCGGAAGAGGUGAGUGGAAUUCCUAGUGUAGAGGUGAAAUUCGUAGAUAUUAGGAAGAACACCAGUGGCGAAGGCGGCUCACUGGUCCGGUACUGACGCUGAGGUGCGAAAGCGUGGGGAGCAAACAGGAUUAGAUACCCACGUAGUCCCUGAGCGGGCUGGCAAGGCGCAU
This 448-nucleotide ribosomal RNA is filed under the name uncultured bacterium. Its description in RNAcentral is "bacterial SSU rRNA". It matches the Rfam family "Bacterial small subunit ribosomal RNA", at positions 355 to 825 of the family's 1533-position model. The record is from RNAcentral.